Molecule: long non-coding RNA, 575 nt
Organism: Setaria italica (foxtail millet)
Lineage: Eukaryota; Viridiplantae; Streptophyta; Magnoliopsida; Poales; Poaceae
Exons: 2
Source: RefSeq, a predicted model, not a curated record
UCACUGACUCAUGAAGAUCUGCUGUUGUAUUUCAUAAUAUUUUUCUAACAAUGCUUUAACAGUUUCUUUAUUAUAUUAGUAUAUUCAUUAGACAGUAUGAAAGCUGGUUCCUCAGUAUCGUAUGAGUCGUGAAAAAAAUGAGAAAAAAAGUAGAAAUGGACUCGAAGAAUAUAUUAUGCAGUGUGCUGCUAAGUAAAAGCAAAGUAUCAGCGAGCUGGAAUAAUUGCAUGCAUUGUGAACAUUAAUGGAGUCUUAAGCGACAAGAAGAUUUGAGAUUAAGCAAGGAAUAAUCAAGGAUCUGUCUCAUGUAACCCGUCAUAUCUCAUCCCUCUCUCCACCUUGCGUCUCUUCUCGCCGGAAGUCCGUCCUCCCUGAAGCCACCGCACUGCCUCUAGUCGUCAUGCUCUGCCUCCCGACUCUUGGCUGUUAUUUUACCCAGCUCUAAGCUAGUCCAUAUCAUUAGUGUACUGACAUCUGCGGUAAAACUUUUAAAUUUAGAUGUUUAAAUAGUCAUAUCAGUAGAAUGUCAAGCAACAGUUAUAUUCUAAAAUGAAGAAAGCCAUGUUAGGGAAAUC